UUGAAAUGCAGGUGCAGCUAUAGAUUCUUUCUUCUGACCUAUAAGCAUACCUAUUUGAUCCCGUCAAACGGGCUAUUUCUUUUGCUGCAGCUAGCAUAAAGGUUGAAGAGUCGCGAUGGCUGAUUGAUAGGAUUUAACAUGUCGCGCAAGCGAUCUGUAAACUCGAUCUCAAACCAAGCAAGACUACCCGCUGAACUCAA
RNAcentral lists this unclassified non-coding RNA (200 nucleotides) under soil metagenome. RNAcentral's name for it is "partial contains internal transcribed spacer 2 and large subunit ribosomal RNA". The record is from RNAcentral.